RNAcentral lists this transfer RNA (57 nucleotides) under Heterocephalus glaber (naked mole-rat). It matches the Rfam family "tRNA", at positions 8 to 63 of the family's 71-position model. Rfam says of the family: Transfer RNA (tRNA) molecules are approximately 80 nucleotides in length. Their secondary structure includes four short double-helical elements and three loops (D, anti-codon, and T loops). Further hydrogen bonds mediate the characteristic L-shaped molecular structure. tRNAs have two regions of fundamental functional importance: the anti-codon, which is responsible for specific mRNA codon recognition, and the 3' end, to which the tRNAs corresponding amino acid is attached (by aminoacyl-tRNA synthetases). tRNAs cope with the degeneracy of the genetic code in two manners: having more than one tRNA (with a specific anti-codon) for a particular amino acid; and 'wobble' base-pairing, i.e. permitting non-standard base-pairing at the 3rd anti-codon position. The record is from Rfam by way of RNAcentral. Lineage: Eukaryota; Metazoa; Chordata; Mammalia; Rodentia; Bathyergidae.
UAGCUCAGUAGUAGAGUGCUUGCCUAACAUGCAAAAGGCCCUGGGUUCCAUCCCCAG